GAUGCUGACGAGUGGCGAACGGGUGAGUAAUACAUCGGAACGUGCCCGAGAGUGGGGGAUAACGAAGCGAAAGCUUUGCUAAUACCGCAUACGAUCUCAGGAUGAAAGCAGGGGACCGCAAGGCCUUGCGCUCACGGAGCGGCCGAUGGCAGAUUAGGUAGUUGGUGGGAUAAAAGCUUACCAAGCCGACGAUCUGUAGCUGGUCUGAGAGGACGACCAGCCACACUGGGACUGAGACACGGCCCAGACUCCUACGGGAGGCAGCAGUGGGGAAUUUUGGACAAUGGGCGCAAGCCUGAUCCAGCCAUGCCGCGUGCAGGAUGAAGGCCUUCGGGUUGUAAACUGCUUUUGUACGGAACGAAAAGACUCUGGUUAAUACCUGGGGUCCAUGACGGUCGGUA
RNAcentral lists this ribosomal RNA (401 nucleotides) under bacterium CYB24. RNAcentral describes it as "bacterial SSU rRNA". It matches the Rfam family "Bacterial small subunit ribosomal RNA", at positions 84 to 482 of the family's 1533-position model. The record is from RNAcentral.